CCAAUAGCGUAUAUUAAGGUUGCUGCGGUUAAAACGCUCGUAGUUGAAUUUCGGGAUUGAUGCAUCGGUCGUGCCUUAAGGGGUAUGAACUGGUGUAGCCAAUUUCUUACCUUCUGGUGAAUUGUGAUGUCCUCCUUAAUUGGGUGUUUCAAUGAACUAGGACCUUUUACUUUGAAAAAAUUAGAGUGUUUAAAGCAGGCAUUAUUUGCUUGAAUACAUUAGCAUGGAAUAAUAAAAUAGGACAAUGAUUCUAUUUUGUUGGUUUCUAGGAUCACUGUAAUGAUUAAUAGGGAUAGUUGGGGGCAUUAGUAUUCAAUUGUCAGAGGUGAAAUUCUUGGAUUAAUUGAAGACUAACUACUGCGAAAGCAUUUGCCAAGGAUGUUUUCAUUAAUCAAGAACGAAAGUUAGGGGAUCGAAGACGAUCAGAUACCGUCGUAGUCUUAACCAUAAACUAUGCCGACUAGGGAUCGGACGAAGUUAAUUUUAUAAUGACGCGUUCGGCACCUUACG
Molecule: ribosomal RNA, 510 nt
Filed under: uncultured Glomeromycotina
Lineage: Eukaryota; Fungi; Glomeromycota
Description: partial small subunit ribosomal RNA
Rfam family: Eukaryotic small subunit ribosomal RNA
Source: RNAcentral